Molecule: non-coding RNA, 99 nt
Filed under: Vibrio vulnificus
Lineage: Bacteria; Pseudomonadati; Pseudomonadota; Gammaproteobacteria; Vibrionales; Vibrionaceae
Description: TPP sequence
Rfam family: TPP riboswitch aptamer (THI element)
About the family: Vitamin B(1) in its active form thiamin pyrophosphate (TPP) is an essential coenzyme that is synthesised by coupling of pyrimidine and thiazole moieties in bacteria. The previously detected thiamin-regulatory element, thi box was extended, resulting in a new, highly conserved RNA secondary structure, the THI element, which is widely distributed in eubacteria and also occurs in some archaea. Analysis of operon structures identified a large number of new candidate thiamin-regulated genes, mostly transporters, in various prokaryotic organisms.
Source: RNAcentral
UUUCACUUGUCGGAGUGCCUUUGGGCUGAGACCGUUUAUUCGGGAUCCGUUGAACCUGAUCAGGUUAGAACCUGCGAAGGGAACAAGAGAAGAUACUUG